AUUGAACGCUGGCGGCAUGCUUUACACAUGCAAGUCGAACGGCAGCGCGGGCUUCGGCCUGGCGGCGGGUGGCGAACGGGUGAGUAAUACAUCGGAACGUGCCCAGUAGUGGGGGAUAGCUCGGCGAAAGCCGGAUUAAUACCGCAUACGACCUGAGGGUGAAAGCGGGGGAUCUUCGGACCUCGCGCUAUUGGAGCGGCCGAUGGCAGAAUAGCUAGUUGGUGGGGUAAAGGCCUACCAAGGCGACGAUCUGUAGCUGGUCUGAGAGGACGACCAGCCACACUGGGACUGAGACACGGCCCAGACUCCUACGGGAGGCAGCAGUGGGGAAUUUUGGACAAUGGGCGAAAGCCUGAUCCAGCAAUGCCGCGUGUGUGAUGAAGGCCUUCGGGUUGUAAAGCACUUUUGGCGGGAACGAAAAGGACUGUGCCAAUACCACGGUUCGAUGACGGUACCCGCAGAAUAAGCACCGGCUAACUACGUG
RNAcentral lists this ribosomal RNA (484 nucleotides) under uncultured bacterium. RNAcentral's name for it is "partial 16S ribosomal RNA". It matches the Rfam family "Bacterial small subunit ribosomal RNA", at positions 29 to 507 of the family's 1533-position model. The record is from RNAcentral.